AGAGUUUGAUCAUGGCUCAGGACGAACGCUGACGGUGUGCUUUAGGCAUGCAAGUCGAACGAGAAAGCCCUUCGGGGUGAGUACAGUGGCGAACGGGUGAGUAACACGUGGGCAAUCUGCCCCUCGCAGGGGGAUAACCGGGGGAAACCCCGGCUAAUACCCCGUACGCUUACGGAGCUGCAUGGCUCCGUAAGGAAAGGUAGCUUCGGCCAUCCGGCGAGGGAUGAGCCCGCGGUACAUUAGCUAGUUGGUGGGGUAACGGCCCACCAAGGCGACGAUGUAUAGCUGGUCUGAGAGGAUGAUCAGCCACACUGGGACUGAGACACGGCCCAGACUCCUACGGGAGGCAGCAGUCGGGAAUCUUGCGCAAUGGGCGAAAGCCUGACGCAGCAACACCGUGUGAGCGACGAAGGCCUUCGGGUCGUAAAGCUCUGUUGUUGGGGACGAAGGGUUAGGGGUUAAUAGCCCCGAGCCUGACGGUACCCUUCGAGGAAGCCCCGGCUAACUACGUGCCAGCAGCGGCGGUAAUUC
This 531-nucleotide ribosomal RNA is filed under the name uncultured bacterium. RNAcentral's name for it is "bacterial SSU rRNA". It matches the Rfam family "Bacterial small subunit ribosomal RNA", at positions 8 to 526 of the family's 1533-position model. The record is from RNAcentral.